AUUGAACGCUGGCGGCAGGCCUAACACAUGCAAGUCGAACGAGUGGCGGACGGGUGAGUAAUGUCUGGGAAACUGCCUGAUGGAGGGGGAUAACUACUGGAAACGGUAGCUAAUACCGCAUACCAUCAGAUGUGCCCAGAUGGGAUGAGCUAGUUGGUGGGGUAACGGCUCACCAAGGCGACGAUCCCUAGCUGGUCUGAGAGGAGGACGCACCCCAAUGGAAAUGAAGCGCGGUCCAGACUCCGACGAGAGGCAGCAGUGGGGAAUAUUGCACAAUUGGCGCAAGCCUGAUACAGCCAUGCCGAGUGUAUGAAGAAAGCCUUCGGGUUGUAAAGUACUUUCAGCGGGGAGGCGUUACCCGCAGGAGAAGCACCGGCUAACUCCGUGCCAGCCGCCGCGGUAAUAC
This 406-nucleotide ribosomal RNA is filed under the name uncultured bacterium. RNAcentral's name for it is "partial 16S ribosomal RNA". It matches the Rfam family "Bacterial small subunit ribosomal RNA", at positions 30 to 526 of the family's 1533-position model. The record is from RNAcentral.